CUGGCGUUCCCGCUGUCCUCCUCUGCUACAGUCGCUUAGCAACGGAGACCUUCUCAGACGGAGUUGUAAGUAGUUGACGUAAAUAUUUCCUAUCACGAUGUCAGCGUAGCGGCCAUGUUGCCGUAGUCUUGUACUCGGGAAAAUGGACGCCUACACAGCACAUAGCUGGUAGUAAUACUUUAAUUAGUGUGUAUAAAACUCAAGCUGAAACCGUUCAACAGAAUAAAAGCAAAG
This is a non-coding RNA of Pelobates cultripes (western spadefoot toad), 234 nucleotides long. The record is from the annotation of a GenBank genome assembly. Lineage: Eukaryota; Metazoa; Chordata; Amphibia; Anura; Pelobatidae.